This 25-nucleotide unclassified non-coding RNA is filed under the name Mus musculus (house mouse). RNAcentral describes it as "oocyte_clustered_small_RNA6974". Lineage: Eukaryota; Metazoa; Chordata; Mammalia; Rodentia; Muridae. The record is from RNAcentral.
UGCUUUCGUGUCUAAUGCAUCACAG